GAGUUUGAUCAUGGCUCAGGAUGAACGCCGACAGAAUGCUUAACACAUGCAAGUCUACUUGAUCCUUCGGGUGAAGGUGGCGGACGGGUGAGUAACGCGUAAAGAACUUGCCUUACAGACUGGGACAACAUUUGGAAACGAAUGCUAAUACCGGAUAUUAUGAUUGGGUCGCAUGAUCUGGUUAUGAAAGCUAUAUGCGCUGUGAGAGAGCUUUGCGUCCCAUUAGUUAGUUGGUGAGGUAACGGCUCACCAAGACGAUGAUGGGUAGCCGGCCUGAGAGGGUGAACGGCCACAAGGGGACUGAGACACGGCCCUUACUCCUACGGGAGGCAGCAGUGGGGAAUAUUGGACAAUGGACCAAAAGUCUGAUCCAGCAAUUCUGUGUGCACGAUGAAGUUUUUCGGAAUGUAAAGUGCUUUCAGUUGGGAAGAAGUCAGUGACGGUACCAACAGAAGAAGCGACGGCUAAAUACGUGCCAGCAGCCGCGGUAAUACGUAUGUCGCAAGCGUUAUCCGGAUUUAUUGGGCGUAAAGCGCGUCUAGGCGGCUUAGUAAGUCUGAUGUGAAAAUGCGGGGCUCAACCCCGUAUUGCGUUGGAAACUGCUAAACUAGAGUACUGGAGAGGUAGGCGGAACUACAAGUGUAGAGGUGAAAUUCGUAGAUAUUUGUAGGAAUGCCGAUGGGGAAGCCAGCCUACUGGACAGAUACUGACGCUAAAGCGCGAAAGCGUGGGUAGCAAACAGGAUUAGAUACCCUGGUAGUCCACGCCGUAAACGAUGAUUACUAGGUGUUGGGGGUCGAACCUCAGCGCCCAAGCUAACGCGAUAAGUAAUCCGCCUGGGGAGUACGUACGCAAGUAUGAAACU
Molecule: ribosomal RNA, 865 nt
Filed under: uncultured bacterium
Lineage: Bacteria
Description: bacterial SSU rRNA
Rfam family: Bacterial small subunit ribosomal RNA
Source: RNAcentral